Molecule: transfer RNA, 80 nt
Filed under: Magallana gigas (Pacific oyster)
Lineage: Eukaryota; Metazoa; Mollusca; Bivalvia; Ostreida; Ostreidae
Description: Crassostrea gigas (Pacific oyster) tRNA
Rfam family: tRNA
About the family: Transfer RNA (tRNA) molecules are approximately 80 nucleotides in length. Their secondary structure includes four short double-helical elements and three loops (D, anti-codon, and T loops).
Source: Rfam by way of RNAcentral
CGCCAGAUAGCUCAGUUGGUAGACUAAGAGCACCUGACUAGAGAUUCAGGGGGCCCGGGGUUCGAAUCCCGGUCUGGUCU